AUACUUACCUGGCAGGGAGAUACCAUGAUCACAGGUGGUUUUCCCAGGGCAGAGGCUUAUCCAUUGCACUCCCGGAUGUGCUGACCCCUGCGAUUUCCCCAAAUGUAGAAGCUCUGUGACUGCAUAAUUUGUGGUAAUUGGGGGACUGCGUUCGCGCUUUCCUGAA
Molecule: small nuclear RNA, 166 nt
Organism: Chlorocebus sabaeus (green monkey)
Lineage: Eukaryota; Metazoa; Chordata; Mammalia; Primates; Cercopithecidae
Product: U1 spliceosomal RNA
Source: RefSeq, a predicted model, not a curated record